GAUCCUGGCUCAGGAUGAACGCUAGCUACAGGCUUAACACAUGCAAGUCGAGGGGCGAGCAUGGUCUUAGCUUGCUAAGGCCGAUGGCGACCGGCGCACGGGUGAGUAACACGUAUCCAACCUGCCGUCUACUCUUGGGACAGCCUUCUGAAAGGAAGAUUAAUACAAGAUGGCAUCAUGAAUCCACAUGUUCACAUGAUUAAAGGUAUUCCGGUAGACGAUGGGGAUUGG
This 231-nucleotide ribosomal RNA is filed under the name uncultured bacterium. RNAcentral describes it as "partial 16S ribosomal RNA". It matches the Rfam family "Bacterial small subunit ribosomal RNA", at positions 15 to 235 of the family's 1533-position model. The record is from RNAcentral.